UGGAANUGGGGGAACCCUGAUCCAGCCAUGCCGCGUGAGUGAUGAAGGCCCUAGGGUUGUAAAACUCUUUCGGCAGGGACGAUAAUGACGGUACCUGAAGAAGAAGCUGCGGCUAACUACGUGCCAGCAGCCGCGGUAAUACGUAGGCAGCGAGCGUUGUUCGGAAUUACUGGGCGUAAAGAGUGUGUAGGCGGUGCUCUAAGUUCGGUGUGAAAUCUCCUGGCUUAACUGGGAGGGUGCGCCGGAAACUGGAGUGCUCGAGCGUGGGAGAGGAAAGCGGAAUUCCUGGUGUAGCGGUGAAAUGCGUAGAUAUCAGGAGGAACACCUGCGGUGUAGACGGCUUUCUGGACCAUUGCUGACGCUGAGACACGAAAGCGUGGGUAGCAAACAGGAUUAGAUACCCUGGUAGUCCACGCCCUAAACGAUGCAUACUUGGUGUCGGCCAUUCAGUUGGUCGGUGCCGGAGCUAACGCGUUAAGUAUGCCGCCUGGGGAGUACGGUCGCAAGGCUGAAACUCAAAAAAAUUGACGGA
This 532-nucleotide ribosomal RNA is filed under the name uncultured bacterium. RNAcentral describes it as "bacterial SSU rRNA". It matches the Rfam family "Bacterial small subunit ribosomal RNA", at positions 365 to 917 of the family's 1533-position model. The record is from RNAcentral.